GACGAACGCUGGCGGCGUGCUUAACACAUGCAAGUCGAGCGGUAAGGCCCUUUCGGGGGUACACGAGCGGCGAACGGGUGAGUAACACGUGGGUGACCUGCCCUCAGCUCUGGGAUAAGCCUGGGAAACCGGGUCUAAUACUGGAUAUGACUCCAUGACGCAUGUUGUGGGGUGGAAAGCCUUGUGCGGCUGAGGAUGGGCCCGCGGCCUAUCAGCUUGUUGGUGGGGNGAUGGCCUACCAAGGCGACGACGGGUAGCCGGCCUGAGAGGGCGACCGGCCACACUGGGACUGAGACACGGCCCAGACUCCUACGGGAGGCAGCAGUGGGAAUCUUGCGCAAUGGGCGAAAGCCUGACGCAGCGACGCCGCGUGAGGGAUGACGGCCUGGUGUAAC
This 395-nucleotide ribosomal RNA is filed under the name uncultured bacterium. Its description in RNAcentral is "bacterial SSU rRNA". It matches the Rfam family "Bacterial small subunit ribosomal RNA", at positions 28 to 429 of the family's 1533-position model. The record is from RNAcentral.